AAUGGAGUAAAAAAAUUCCAAGGUAGCAGUAUCAGGAUCAGUGGUCCAGAACAGACUUUUUUUAUAAUACUUGGAUCUUUUAUAUAAUGUUUUAUUUUUUUCUAACAAAAAAAAAAAACCGAAAAAAAACUUACUUUAAGUUUCCAUUAAUUCACCAGAGCCAGAUUAAGUUUAGAGCCUAGAGGCUCAGGCUUUAAAUUUUAAAAUGUUGAAGGCCUUUUUUUUUCUUUGACCGGACCUAUUAUCUCCAG
Cinara cedri is the source of this 251-nucleotide non-coding RNA. The record is from the annotation of a GenBank genome assembly. NCBI's taxonomy places the organism in Eukaryota, Metazoa, Arthropoda, Insecta, Hemiptera, Aphididae.